RNAcentral lists this ribosomal RNA (443 nucleotides) under uncultured bacterium. Its description in RNAcentral is "SSU rRNA". It matches the Rfam family "Bacterial small subunit ribosomal RNA", at positions 26 to 518 of the family's 1533-position model. The record is from RNAcentral.
AGAGCGAACGCUGGCGGCAGGCCUAAUACAUGCAAGUCGAACGCACCUUCGGGUGAGUGGCGGACGGGUGAGUAACACGUGGGAACGUGCCUUUUGGUUCGGAAUAAUCCGGGGAAACCCGGCCUAAUACCGGAUGUGCCCUUCGGGGGAAAGAUUUAUCGCCAUUAGAGCGGCCCGCGUCUGAUUAGCUUGUUGGUGGGGUAAUGGCCCACCAAGGCUACGAUCAGUAGCUGGUCUGAGAGGAUGAUCAGCCACACUGGGACUGAGACACGGCCCCAGACUCCUACGGGAGGCAGCAGUAGGGAAUCUUGCGCAAUGGGCGAAAGCCUGACGCAGCCAUGCCGCGUGAAUGAUGAAGGUCUUAGGAUUGUAAAAUUCUUUCAGCGGGAAGACAAUGACUGUACCGCAGAAGAAGCUCCGGCUAACUUCGUGCCAGCAGCCGC